ACACGACUACAUUAGAUACCCCCGGUAGUCCUAGCCGUAAACGAUACUCGCUAGGUGUCGGCCACGGUGCGACCGUUGUCGGUGCCGUAGGGAGCCGUGAAGCGAGCCACCUGGGAAGUACGGCCGCAAGGCUGAAACUUAAAGGAAUUGGCGGGGGAGCACAACAACGGGUGGAGCUUGCGGUUUAAUUGGAUUCAACGCCGGAAAUCUUACCGGGACCGACAGCAACAUGAAGGCCAAGCUGAAGACUUUGCCGGAUUAGCUG
RNAcentral lists this ribosomal RNA (265 nucleotides) under uncultured archaeon. RNAcentral's name for it is "partial 16S ribosomal RNA". It matches the Rfam family "Archaeal small subunit ribosomal RNA", at positions 717 to 982 of the family's 1478-position model. The record is from RNAcentral.